This 557-nucleotide long non-coding RNA is filed under the name Gossypium barbadense (sea-island cotton). Its description in RNAcentral is "long non-coding RNA (GBAR_LNC023079)". Lineage: Eukaryota; Viridiplantae; Streptophyta; Magnoliopsida; Malvales; Malvaceae. The record is from RNAcentral.
UUUUGACUGAUUUUUUUGCGGGAAUAAUUUUUUUAUAUUCAAUCAUAGUGCCAAAAACAUGUAUGUAAAAUUUCAGAUCAAUCGGACAACGUUUACCCACUCAAAUGAAAUUUUUUUGAACAAUUUUUCUGGGUAAAACUGCCGUUUAUGCUUUAAAAAAUAGAGAUCAGUUUAGAAAUCAACCAAGAACACCCAAAACGCCCAAAAUCUGAUACAAAAUGAUACGGGGUUGCGCGCGGACCAAGAUCGAGUUGCCAAGUCACGAGAAACUCCUACGAAAACCCUAAACAAUUAGAUCUGAAACGAAACAGAAAAAUUAAAAGAUUAGAACUUUGAAUUUCCAGAUCUGAAAUAAAAUCCCCAAAUCAGCAAAGAAUCAAAUUGAGAAUAGAAAUAAGUGUUAGGGUUCUUGAAACCCUCAAGGAGAUUGUGAUUCUGCCCAAUUGAACACCAAGAUAGUUUUUCCCAAAUUUCGACAAUCUAAUUUCACCCAAAAAGAGUAUGGAAAAACCCUAGAAAUUGGGGAUUUUUGGGCUGAUUCCUUAAGAUAGAAAAAG